Gossypium arboreum is the source of this 107-nucleotide small nucleolar RNA. It matches the Rfam family "Plant small nucleolar RNA R71". From Rfam's summary of the family: R71 is a member of the C/D box family of snoRNAs containing the C (UGAUGA) and D (CUGA) box motifs. Multiple nearly identical copies of this snoRNA have been identified in Arabidopsis, and it is thought to function as a 2'-O-ribose methylation guide for 18S ribosomal RNA. The record is from Rfam. NCBI's taxonomy places the organism in Eukaryota, Viridiplantae, Streptophyta, Magnoliopsida, Malvales, Malvaceae.
AAUCCAUGCAUCAGAUAUUUUUGAAAUAAUUCUUUAAAUCGUUCACAGGCUUUAAACAUCAUUUCAUCCUCUGAUUGCCAAAAAGAUGUGAUGUCAUUUCUAAGUUU